RNAcentral lists this ribosomal RNA (519 nucleotides) under uncultured archaeon. Its description in RNAcentral is "bacterial SSU rRNA". It matches the Rfam family "Archaeal small subunit ribosomal RNA", at positions 339 to 859 of the family's 1478-position model. The record is from RNAcentral.
GCGAGAAAACUUUGCAAUGUGCGAAAGCACGACAAGGUUAAUCCGAGUGGUUUCUGCUAAAGGAACCUUUUGUCAGUCCUAGAAACACUGAUGAAUAAGGGGUGGGCAAGUUCUGGUGUCAGCCGCCGCGGUAAAACCAGCACCUCAAGUGGUCAGGAUGAUUAUUGGGCCUAAAGCAUCCGUAGCCGGCUCUGUAAGUUUUCGGUUAAAUCUGUACGCUCAACGUACAGGCUGCCGGGAAUACUGCAAAGCUAGGGAGUGGGAGAGGUAGACGGUACUCGGUAGGAAGGGGUAAAAUCCUUUGAUCUAUUGAUGACCACCUGUGGCGAAGGCGGUCUACCAGAACACGUCCGACGGUGAGGGAUGAAAGCUGGGGGAGCAAACCGGAUUAGAUACCCGGGUAGUCCCAGCUGUAAACCAUGCAAACUCAGUGAUGCAUUGGCUUGUGGCCAAUGCAGUGCUGCAGGGAAGCCGUUAAGUUUGCCGCCUGGGAAGUACGUACGCAAGUAUGAAACUUAA